CAAAAAAUACUAUAUUAUUUUUGCUCCAGAUUAUUAUCUUGGUUUCUUCAAAUUUUAAUUUUACAUACUUUCAAAUAAUUAAUAGUUUGAGAUUGUUUAAUUUAUCUGACUGAAAUCGAGGAUUUCGUUCCAUUCAUUUCCAACAUAAGGAAAGUAUUUGCUCGUUGUGGGAAGGAAUUUGCGUUUGAUCUGCCACAAUUUGCUCUCGUGGGUGGGAAAGGUACCGGAAAGUCCAGCCUCCUUGAAUCUCUCGUCGGGAAGGACUUUCUCCCCCGCGGCGCGACAAGAGCUCCACUCGUUCUGAAUUUGCGAAAAUCCGAUUGUCAGGAGCAAGGCAUUUUUCUACAUCGACCUGGGGAAAAGAUACACGAUUUUUCCCGGAUUAGAGAAGAAAUUGCCAACCGUACAGUUAUUCUCGCAGGUGCGGGACAAAAUAUCUCGAGAAUUCCAAUCACGCUGACGAUAUUUUCACCGGAAGUGGCGGUUUAAAUUUGAUCGAUUUACCAGGACUUGUUCGUCUCAGCCUAGACUGCCAACCUGACAAUUUUGUGGAACAGACAAAAUCCACAAUAAUGGAGUAUAUCUCGAAGGAGGAAACUAUUAUUCUCGCGGUUACCGCCGAGGGCUUGGUUAUGUCGCAGGCACUUGAGCAGGCAAUGAUGGUCGACCCGGAAGGAGCAAGAACAAUCGGUGUCAUUACCAAGCUUGACCGCGCCCAAGAUAUUGCGAUGGCCGAGUUGGACAAUAAGGUUGUCCCUUUGAAGUGGGGCCAUGUGGGGGUCGUUCUUCGCUCAGAAGCCGUUAAGUGUUGGAAAUAUUGAAUUUUUUCUGUCCUUAACCCUUUAACGUGUACGAUUAACGACAAGAAAAUGCAUCAUUAAUACGGGGGCGGUAUAAGUAUGUUGCCGUCAUG
This is a long non-coding RNA of Folsomia candida, 913 nucleotides long. RefSeq lists it as uncharacterized. The transcript has 4 exons. Lineage: Eukaryota; Metazoa; Arthropoda; Collembola; Entomobryomorpha; Isotomidae. The record is from RefSeq and is a predicted model, not a curated record.